UACGUAGGUGGCAAGCGUUGUCCGGAUUUACUGGGCGUAAAGAGCGCGCAGGCGGUCGUUCAAGUCGCGUGUGAAAGCCCCCGGCUCAACUGGGGAGGGUCACGCGAUACUGAUCGACUCGAAGGCAGGAGAGGGUAGUGGAAAUCCCGGUGUAGUGGUGAAAUGCGUAGAUAUCGGGAGGAACACCGGUGGCGAAGGCGGCGACCUGGGUAGAUACUGACGCUGAGGCGCGAAAGCGUGGGGAGCAAACAGG
Molecule: ribosomal RNA, 253 nt
Filed under: uncultured bacterium
Lineage: Bacteria
Description: partial 16S ribosomal RNA
Rfam family: Bacterial small subunit ribosomal RNA
Source: RNAcentral